GUGAGGAAUAUUGCACAAUGGGCGAAAGCUUGAUGCAGCAACGCCGCGUGGGUGAUGAAGGCCUUCGGGUCGUAAAACCCUUUUGAGGGAGACGAGCAAGGACGGUAUCUCUCGAAUAAGGUUCGGCUAACUACGUGCCAGCAGCCGCGGUAAAACGUAGGAACCGAGCGUUAUCCGGAUUCACUGGGUGUAAAGCGCGUGCAGGUGGCUUCGUAAGUUGGACGUGAAAUCUCCUGGCUUAACUGGGAGAGGCCGUUCAAUACUGCGGGGCUUGAGGGCAGGAGAGGGAGGUGGAAUUCCCGGUGUAGUGGUGAAAUGCGUAGAUAUCGGGAGGAACACCAGUGGCGAAGGCGGCCUCCUGGCCUGCUCCUGACACUAAGACGCGAAAGCUAGGGGAGCGAACGGGAUUAGAAACCCCAGUAGUCC
This 426-nucleotide ribosomal RNA is filed under the name uncultured bacterium. Its description in RNAcentral is "bacterial SSU rRNA". It matches the Rfam family "Bacterial small subunit ribosomal RNA", at positions 354 to 796 of the family's 1533-position model. The record is from RNAcentral.